RNAcentral lists this ribosomal RNA (575 nucleotides) under Salmonella enterica subsp. enterica serovar Minnesota. RNAcentral describes it as "bacterial LSU rRNA". It matches the Rfam family "Bacterial large subunit ribosomal RNA", at positions 462 to 936 of the family's 2925-position model. Lineage: Bacteria; Pseudomonadati; Pseudomonadota; Gammaproteobacteria; Enterobacterales; Enterobacteriaceae. The record is from RNAcentral.
AAGGCUAAAUACUCCUGACUGACCGAUAGUGAACCAGUACCGUGAGGGAAAGGCGAAAAGAACCCCGGCGAGGGGAGUGAAAAAGAACCUGAAACCGUGUACGUACAAGCAGUGGGAGCCCCACCACCAAAGCAUUCUCUGGUGUUGAAGGCCCUGCAAAGCAGCAUCGCGGUGGCGGAGCGUCGUUUGCGACGCCCAACACACAAAACAAGCGGUGAGUGCUUUGGGGUGGGGUGACUGCGUACCUUUUGUAUAAUGGGUCAGCGACUUAUAUUCUGUAGCAAGGUUAACCGAAUAGGGGAGCCGGAGGGAAACCGAGUCUUAACCGGGCGUUAAGUUGCAGGGUAUAGACCCGAAACCCGGUGAUCUAGCCAUGGGCAGGUUGAAGGUUGGGUAACACUAACUGGAGGACCGAACCGACUAAUGUUGAAAAAUUAGCGGAUGACCGGUGGCUGGGGGUGAAAGGCCAAUCAAACCGGGAGAUAGCUGGUUCUCCCCGAAAGCUAUUUAGGUAGCGCCUCGUGAAUUCAUCUCCGGGGGUAGAGCACUGUUUCGGCUAGGGGGCCAUCCCGGCU